UUUGUUUAGUAUUAUUACAUAUUAAUUUCAGAUGGCUUUGAUUGGUGAUGUUUAAUGUGAAUAUAAUUUUAUGCUGCAUGAACUGUUCGGAUUAUCAGAAGACAUUUGAUUGGUAAGACUUGUACUUCUAUGUAAAUGCUGAGGGGGGAUAGGAGGGGUCCUGAUCCCAAAAUCCCGGGCUUAAAAACACGAGAUCCCGAAAUCCCGGGCUUAAAAAACAUGAAAUCCCGAGGUCCCGAAAUUUGAAAAAAGAAUUCCCGGAUCCCAAAAGGGUCAAUCCCGAAAUCCCGAGCUUAAAAACACCCGAUCCCGGAGUCCCGAUAAAGGUCCUAUCCCCCCUCAAUGCUGGCACACUUGUAUGUAGAUUAAACAUGACUUUUUAGAAUACUUUAUACAUCACAAUAAUAACAUACCUCUUACACAAUUAACCUCAACCAUGGAAAAAACAUGGACAGAAAUGUUAUGUCAAUAAACCAGAAAACACAGAUUUAAAAUAUCGAACAAUCACACACAAAAAGUAAACUCAUAAAAAUACCGAGCUUCGAGGUAAUUCAAACCGGAAAGUCGCCAAUCAAAUGACAAAGUCGAAAGCUUAAACACAUCAAACGAAUGGAUAACAACUAUCAUAUUUCUGACUUAGUAUGGGCAUUUUCUUGUGUAGAAAAUUGAGGUAGUACGUCUAUGUAACGAAUGAAUAACAACUGUCAUAUUUCUAACUUGGAAUAGGCAUUUUCUUUCAUAGAAAAUGGUGGAAAUCUGGUUUUAUAGCUAGGUAAACCUCUCACUUGUAUGCCAGUUGAAAAGAAAUAUCCUUAUUUUGACACCGAUGUGUGAACAAAACAAAAAGUAAAAAUGUCUAAACAGUGGAACAACAGUCAACAUUGUGUUUUAGUCUUAAUCACUAUAAACAAACAAAAUAUGUGACAAAGAAACACAAAAAGGCACAUAGACAAAGCAGAUAAAACCCAACAUAGAAGUACACACAUUUUGUAAUCAAUUUACUUUUUUUGAUAUUUGAAUUUUCAUUAACUUAUUCACCUAUAUAUAUUAUUCUCUGAAGCAGAAAUUAUUUUAGUAUUAUCAUAUACUUAGACUAAAUAAUAUAUGAUUUUUACUGUAUGAUAAUAAAAAUAAAUUAACGUAAACUCCAUAUUUUUCGAAUUGGUGCUUAUCGGACUGAUACGAAAAGUUUAUCACAUGCUUCAAUUGUUAUCACAUGCCUUUCCGUAACAUUAUCGCAUGGCAUUCCGGUGAUACUCGGCAAAUUCUGGAAAAUACUCCUCAAUGCUACGUUUUCAGUGAAAAAAAUUACAAAGAAGUCAACAAAACAAUUAUUUGAAUACUGGAAAGUAUAUUGUGAAGCAUAAUACAAAGAAUUUUACAAAAAUACUGAACUUCGAGGAAAAUUCAAAACAGAAAGUCCCUAAUCAAAUGGCAAAAUCAAAUGACAAAACACAUCGAACGAAUGGACAACAACUUUCAUAUUCCUGACUCGGUACAGGCAUUUUCAAAUGAAGAAAAUGGUGGAUUGAACCUGUUUUUUAAUAGCGCUUAACUGCUCACUUGUAUGACAGUCGCAUCAAAUUCCAUUAUAUUUACAACGAUGUAUGAACAAAACAAAUAGAUAUAAAAGUAAAAAUGUGGAAAUAAUGGUAGAACAGUCAUUAUUGUGAUUUAAUCUAAAUCACUAUAAACCUAUCAAAUAUGUUACAAAGAAACACUAUAGACAAAGCACAUUAAAACCUCAUAGAAGGGCACACACAUAUUUUGUAAUCAAUUUACUUUUUUCUAUAUUUGAAUUUUCAUUAACUUAUUUACUUAUAUAAUAUAUUAUUCUCCGAAGCAGAAAUUAUUUCAAUAAUAUAAGAUAAAAGACAAAAUAUGAAAAUUAUCCAAGAUUGUCUUUUUUUACCUUUUUGUUCUUUUCAUAUGGCGAACAAAGUAACUUUAUUGUGUUUUUAAUAUAUAUAUAAAUAUAAACAAAUACAUUUGUUUAUAUAUAUAUAUCAACAUAAAAUGUCAGUUCGGUAGCAUAUAUAUCUUUAUAAAAUGACUUUGCUGUACUUAAAAAAAACUACAGACACUCUGCUUGAGGAUAUAUCUAUUAAAGUAAAUCAAACUGGCAGGGUUAUUUUAGAGGAAAAUUCAUGCUCAACUGUUUAUCUUUAUUUUGAAGGCUAUAUAUUAAUAUAUAUCAAACACUAUUCAAUCAUUAACUGUUGACUUACUUGUAUUGCAAGAUGGAAACAGCAAGAAAAGUUAAGAAUUUAAAAUCAACUUUACACUAGAGUUAAUUGUGAAAAUAUGAAAAAACAAACGUUAACGUAGAAUCCGAUCUCGAAAAUCGAUGAGAGACAGAAAAAAUUAUGGCGAAGUAGAAAAACAAACUGUGAAAAGACUAACAACAGUCGACAAAACAAUGAAUAUAAAUUUAGACGAAGCAAAACGAACCCAAUAAAAACGGCGAUGGUAUUAGGCUGAAAGGUUAAGCAUAUCCUGUCCCCAUGUAAGCAUGUCCUUUUGGAUUGAACUACUCACAUUUAUCGUAAAAUCUAAUUUUGCAUCGGGUUUCAGGAAGGUUUGUUAUUUCUUACGAAAGCCGAGAAGGAUCAUUCAAAAUUCAAAAUUCAAUAUUCAAAACUCAAACAUCCUACAUUAAUCUAUCAUGAUUCCCCGCGCUUACAGAAGCCAAAAAAGAUUGCAAUUUACACUUUAAUAUACUACUGAAAGCUAUUUUAUAAAGUUUGUUAAGAACACGAACCCAUUGAAACAAGGCAAAGGGUCCGUUAAACCUUCAUAGGGAUACAUCCAAUUCCAUUGAAACCCUUGGUAACACAGCGUCAUUGCAAGUAGCAGCCCUCUAUCAAGAAAAAAGGAAAGGAAACCCGAGC
Molecule: long non-coding RNA, 2891 nt
Filed under: Mytilus galloprovincialis (Mediterranean mussel)
Lineage: Eukaryota; Metazoa; Mollusca; Bivalvia; Mytilida; Mytilidae
Source: RNAcentral